GACGAACCGUGCGAACGUUGUUCGGAAUCACUGGGCUUAAAGGGCGCGUAGGCGGGUGUGCAAGUCUGUGGUGAAAGCCUCCAGCUUAACUGGAGAAGUGCCAUGGAUACUGCACAUCUUGAGGAGGGUAGGGGCAUCUGGAACGGUCGGUGGAGCGGUGAAAUGCGUUGAUAUCGACCGGAACUCCGGUGGCGAAGGCGAGGUGCUGGACCGUUUCUGACGCUGAGGCGCGAAAGCCAGGGGAGCAAACGGG
RNAcentral lists this ribosomal RNA (253 nucleotides) under uncultured bacterium. RNAcentral describes it as "partial 16S ribosomal RNA". It matches the Rfam family "Bacterial small subunit ribosomal RNA", at positions 524 to 776 of the family's 1533-position model. The record is from RNAcentral.